Unclassified non-coding RNA from Pongo abelii (Sumatran orangutan), 117 nucleotides. It matches the Rfam family "Metazoan signal recognition particle RNA". Rfam says of the family: The signal recognition particle (SRP) is a universally conserved ribonucleoprotein. The record is from Ensembl. Lineage: Eukaryota; Metazoa; Chordata; Mammalia; Primates; Hominidae.
GCCGGGCGUGGUGGCUCACGCCUGUAAUCCCAGCAAUCUGGGAGGCUGAGGUGGGUGGAUCACCUGAGGUCAGGAGUUCGAGACCAGCCUGGCCAACAUGGUGAACGUUCAUUUCUA